GCCAAUGAUGAAGAUCUUGAAAUCGACUGAAAUGCAAGUUAAUGGUAAACUUGUAAACUUGUCGAAAAUCAUGAACUAGGACGGUCUGAGGC
Molecule: small nucleolar RNA, 92 nt
Organism: Juglans regia (Persian walnut)
Lineage: Eukaryota; Viridiplantae; Streptophyta; Magnoliopsida; Fagales; Juglandaceae
Product: small nucleolar RNA snoR20a
Exons: 1
Source: RefSeq, a predicted model, not a curated record